GUAAGACAGGUGUAAAUCCCCGGGCUUAACCUGGGAACUGCGCUUGUGACUGCAAGGCUUGAGUGUGGCAGAGGGGGGUGGAAUUCCACGUGUAGCAGUGAAAUGCGUAGAGAUGUGGAGGAACACCGAUGGCGAAGGCAGCCCCCUGGGUCAACACUGACGCUCAUGCACGAAAGCGUGGGUAGCAAACAGGAUUAGAUACCCUGGUAGUCCACGCCCUAAACGAUGCCAACUAGGUGUUGGGGAAGGAGACUUCCUUAGUACCGUAGCUAACGCGUGAAGUUGGCCGCCUGGGGAGUACGGUCGCAAGAUUAAAACUCAAAGGAAUUGACGGGGACCCGCACAAGCGGUGGAUGAUGUGGAUUAAUUCGAUGCAACGCGAAAAACCUUACCUACCCUUGACAUGCCAGGAAUCCCGCUGAGAGGUGGGAGUGCUCGAAAGAGAGCCUGGACACAGGUGCUGCAUGGCUGUCGUCAGCUCGUGUCGUGAGAUGUUGGGUUAAGUCCCGCAACGAGCGCAACCCUUGUCAUUAGUUGCCAUCAUUUAGUUGGGCACUCUAAUGAGACUGCCGGUGACAAACCGGAGGAAGGUGGGGAUGACGUCAAGUCCUCAUGGCUCUUAUGGGUAGGGCUUCACACGUCAUACAAUGGUCGGUACAGAGGGUUGCCAAGCCGCGAGGUGGAGCCAAUCCCAGAGAGCCGAUCGUA
Molecule: ribosomal RNA, 708 nt
Filed under: uncultured Denitratisoma sp.
Lineage: Bacteria; Pseudomonadati; Pseudomonadota; Betaproteobacteria; Nitrosomonadales; Sterolibacteriaceae
Description: bacterial SSU rRNA
Rfam family: Bacterial small subunit ribosomal RNA
Source: RNAcentral